Oncorhynchus tshawytscha (Chinook salmon) is the source of this 277-nucleotide long non-coding RNA. NCBI's taxonomy places the organism in Eukaryota, Metazoa, Chordata, Actinopteri, Salmoniformes, Salmonidae. The record is from Ensembl.
AGCAUGAGCAUCCAGCCAGGACGGCUUGUGUCAGCUUUACACUCCAGACCUCCAGUACGCCUCCACAGCCCAGUACGUCCUGUGCCUGCUCCCCGCACUCGCGCUGAGGUGCGUGUCCUCAGCCCAGUACCACCAGUGCCGGCACCACGCACCAGGCCUACAGUGCGACUCGUCAGUCCAGAGCGUCCGGCUACAGUACCCAGCCCAGAGCGUCCGGCUACAGUACCCAGUCCAGAGCGUCCGGCUACAGUACCCAGCCCAGAGCGCCUGGCAACAG